Molecule: ribosomal RNA, 254 nt
Filed under: uncultured bacterium
Lineage: Bacteria
Description: partial 16S ribosomal RNA
Rfam family: Bacterial small subunit ribosomal RNA
Source: RNAcentral
GACGUAGGGCGCGAGCGUUGUCCGGAUUUAUUGGGCGUAAAGAGCUCGUAGGCGGUUCGGUAAGUCGGGUGUGAAAACUUUGGGCUCAACCCAAAGCCUGCACUCGAUACUGCUGUGACUUGAGUCCGGUAGGGGAGUGGGGAAUUCCUGGUGUAGCGGUGGAAUGCGCAGAUAUCAGGAGGAACACCGGUGGCGAAGGCGCCACUCUGGGCCGGUACUGACGCUGAGGAGCGAAAGCGUGGGGAGCGAACAGG